AUUGAACGCUGGCGGCAGGCCUAACACAUGCAAGUCGAGCGGAUGAAGGGAGCUUGCUCCUGGAUUCAGCGGCGGACGGGUGAGUAAUGCCUAGGAAUCUGCCUGGUAGUGGGGGAUAACGUCCGGAAACGGGCGCUAAUACCGCAUACGUCCUGAGGGAGAAAGUGGGGGAUCUUCGGACCUCACGCUAUCAGAUGAGCCUAGGUCGGAUUAGCUAGUUGGUGGGGUAAAGGCCUACCAAGGCGACGAUCCGUAACUGGUCUGAGAGGAUGAUCAGUCACACUGGAACUGAGACACGGUCCAGACUCCUACGGGAGGCAGCAGUGGGGAAUAUUGGACAAUGGGCGAAAGCCUGAUCCAGCCAUGCCGCGUGUGUGAAGAAGGUCUUCGGAUUGUAAAGCACUUUAAGUUGGGAGGAAGGGAAGUAAGUUAAUACCUUGCUGUUUUGACGUUACCAACAGAAUAGGCACCGGCUAACUUCG
Molecule: ribosomal RNA, 482 nt
Filed under: uncultured bacterium
Lineage: Bacteria
Description: partial 16S ribosomal RNA
Rfam family: Bacterial small subunit ribosomal RNA
Source: RNAcentral